AGAGUUUGAUCCUGGCUCAGAGUGAACGCUGGCGGCAGGCCUAACACAUGCAAGUCGAACGGCAGCACAGCAGUAGCAAUACUGUGGGUGGCGAGUGGCGGACGGGUGAGGAAUGCGUCGGAAUCUGCCUAUUUGUGGGGGAUAACGUAGGGUAACUUACGCUAAUACCGCAUACGACCUACGGGUGAAAGUGGGGGACCUUCGGGCCUCACGCAGAUAGAUGAGCCGACGCCGGAUUAGCUAGUUGGCGGGGUAAAGGCCCACCAAGGCGACGAUCCGUAGCUGGUCUGAGAGGAUGAUCAGCCACACUGGGACUGAGACACGGCCCAGACUCCUACGGGAGGCAGCAGUGGGGAAUAUUGGACAAUGGGCGCAAGCCUGAUCCAGCCAUGCCGCGUGUGUGAAGAAGGCCUUCGGGUUGUAAAGCACUUUUGUCCGGAAAGAAAUCCUUUCGAUUAAUACUCGGGAGGGAUGACGGUACCGA
This 484-nucleotide ribosomal RNA is filed under the name uncultured bacterium. RNAcentral's name for it is "bacterial SSU rRNA". It matches the Rfam family "Bacterial small subunit ribosomal RNA", at positions 8 to 481 of the family's 1533-position model. The record is from RNAcentral.